CGGGACACGUGGUAUCCUGUCUGAAUAUGGGGGGACCAUCCUCCAAGGCUAAAUACUCCUGACUGACCGAUAGUGAACCAGUACCGUGAGGGAAAGGCGAAAAGAACCCCGGCGAGGGGAGUGAAAAAGAACCUGAAACCGUGUACGUACAAGCAGUGGGAGCACGCUUAGGCGUGUGACUGCGUACCUUUUGUAUAAUGGGUCAGCGACUUAUAUUCUGUAGCAAGGUUAACCGAAUAGGGGAGCCGAAGGGAAACCGAGUCUUAACUGGGCGUUAAGUUGCAGGGUAUAGACCCGAAACCCGGUGAUCUAGCCAUGGGCAGGUUGAAGGUUGGGUAACACUAACUGGAGGACCGAACCGACUAAUGUUGAAAAAUUAGCGGAUGACUUGUGGCUGGGGGUGAAAGGCCAAUCAAACCGGGAGAUAGCUGGUUCUCCCCGAAAGCUAUUUAGGUAGCGCCUCGUGAAUUCAUCUCCGGGGGUAGAGCACUGUUUCGGCAAGGGGGUCAUCCCGACUUACCAACCCGAUGCAAACUGCGAAUACCGGAGAAUGUUAUCACGGGAGACACACGGCGGGUGCUAACGUCCGUCGUGAAGAGGGAAACAACCCAGACCGCCAGCUAAGGUCCCAAAGUCAUGGUUAAGUGGGAAACGAUGUGGGAAGGCCCAGACAGCCAGGAUGUUGGCUUAGAAGCAGCCAUCAUUUAAAGAAAGCGUAAUAGCUCACUGGUCGAGUCGGCCUGCGCGGAAGAUGUAACGGGGCUAAACCAUGCACCGAAGCUGCGGCAGCGACGCUGAUGCGUUGUUGGGUAGGGGAGCGUUCUGUAAGCCUGUGAAGGUGUGCUGUGAGGCAUGCUGGAGGUAUCAGAAGUGCGAAUGCUGACAUAAGUAACGAUAAAGCGGGUGAAAAGCCCGCUCGCCGGAAGACCAAGGGUUCCUGUCCAACGUUAAUCGGGGCAGGGUGAGUCGACCCCUAAGGCGAGGCCGAAAGGCGUAGUCGAUGGGAAACAGGUUAAUAUUCCUGUACUUGGUGUUACUGCGAAGGGGGGACGGAGAAGGCUAUGUUGGCCGGGCGACGGUUGUCCCGGUUUAAGCGUGUAGGCUGGUUUUCCAGGCAAAUCCGGAAAAUCAAGGCUGAGGCGUGAUGACGAGGCACUACGGUGCUGAAGCAACAAAUGCCCUGCUUCCAGGAAAAGCCUCUAAGCAUCAGGUAACAUCAAAUCGUACCCCAAACCGACACAGGUGGUCAGGUAGAGAAUACCAAGGCGCUUGAGAGAACUCGGGUGAAGGAACUAGGCAAAAUGGUGCCGUAACUUCGGGAGAAGGCACGCUGAUAUGUAGGUGAAGCGACUUGCUCGUGGAGCUGAAAUCAGUCGAAGAUACCAGCUGGCUGCAACUGUUUAUUAAAAACACAGCACUGUGCAAACACGAAAGUGGACGUAUACGGUGUGACGCCUGCCCGGUGCCGGAAGGUUAAUUGAUGGGGUCAGCGCAAGCGAAGCUCUUGAUCGAAGCCCCGGUAAACGGCGGCCGUAACUAUAACGGUCCUAAGGUAGCGAAAUUCCUUGUCGGGUAAGUUCCGACCUGCACGAAUGGCGUAAUGAUGGCCAGGCUGUCUCCACCCGAGACUCAGUGAAAUUGAACUCGCUGUGAAGAUGCAGUGUACCCGCGGCAAGACGGAA
This 1682-nucleotide ribosomal RNA is filed under the name Escherichia coli. Its description in RNAcentral is "partial 23S ribosomal RNA". It matches the Rfam family "Bacterial large subunit ribosomal RNA", at positions 418 to 2085 of the family's 2925-position model. The record is from RNAcentral. Lineage: Bacteria; Pseudomonadati; Pseudomonadota; Gammaproteobacteria; Enterobacterales; Enterobacteriaceae.